RNAcentral lists this transfer RNA (31 nucleotides) under Brasenia schreberi. Its description in RNAcentral is "partial tRNA-Thr". The record is from RNAcentral. Lineage: Eukaryota; Viridiplantae; Streptophyta; Magnoliopsida; Nymphaeales; Cabombaceae.
UGCGAUGCUCUAACCUCUGAGCUAAGCCGGC